AAAACUCCCAAAAUCAAUACCAACCUUCCUUUUAUGGUCAUAAACCUUGUGUUUAAAUUUCAUAGAUUUCUAUUUACUUAUACUAACGUUAUGGUGCGAAAACCAAGAAAAAUGCUUAUUUAGGUCCCUUUUUGGCCCCUAAUUCCUAAACUGUUAGGACCUAAACUCCCAAAAUCAAUACCAACCUUCCUUUUGUAGUCAUUAACAUUGUGUUUAAAUUUCAUUGAUUUCUAUUUACUUAAACUAAAGUUAUUGUGCGAAAACCAAGAAUAAUGCUUAUUUGGGCCCUGUUUUGGCCCCUAAUUCCUAAACUGUUGAAACCUUUACUCCCAAAAUCAAUCCCAACCGUUCUUUUGUGGUCAUAAACCUUGUGUCAAAAUUUC
This 383-nucleotide long non-coding RNA is filed under the name Mytilus galloprovincialis (Mediterranean mussel). Lineage: Eukaryota; Metazoa; Mollusca; Bivalvia; Mytilida; Mytilidae. The record is from RNAcentral.